CCGAGGAAGCCCACCUGAACCAGCUUCUGCAACUAUAAAAGAGGCCUCCGAGAAGUAUCCUCCCAGGACUUGGCCAGGAAAUGGGAAGGGGGCUGGGCUUAUGGAGGUCCUCCUGUAUGCCCGGCUCUGCGCUCCCGCGUUGUAAGUCACCACCACCGCUGCCCGCCCCACCCCACUCCACUGUACAAAUACAGAGACUGAAGUUUCGAGAGGAGGAAGGCCUCAAGGGUCUGGCUUCACACCCAGCGCAUCCUGAGACUGAGCCCUCCCUCUCAGCCUGGCUUGAGAUUCUCUAUUACAGUAUUGAGAAGUUUCCACAACAGAGACUAAGACAGAAGGGAAGGGAACAGGACCCAAGCUUUGAAAGAAUGAUGCACAUCUUGAUGAUACGACUGAACUAGG
Cervus elaphus (red deer) is the source of this 402-nucleotide long non-coding RNA. RefSeq lists it as uncharacterized. NCBI's taxonomy places the organism in Eukaryota, Metazoa, Chordata, Mammalia, Artiodactyla, Cervidae. The record is from RefSeq and is a predicted model, not a curated record. The transcript is spliced from 3 exons.